Molecule: ribosomal RNA, 427 nt
Filed under: uncultured bacterium
Lineage: Bacteria
Description: partial 16S ribosomal RNA
Rfam family: Bacterial small subunit ribosomal RNA
Source: RNAcentral
UGGGGAAUAUUGCACAAUGGGCGCAAGCCUGAUGCAGCCAUGCCGCGUGUAUGAAGAAGGCCUUCGGGUUGUAAAGUACUUUCAGCGAGGAGGAAGGCGUUGUGGUUAAUAACCGCAGCGAUUGACGUUACUCGCAGAAGAAGCACCGGCUAACUCCGUGCCAGCAGCCGCGGUAAUACGGAGGGAGCAAGCGUUAAUCGGAAUUACUGGGUGUAAAGCGCACGCAGGCGGUCUGUCAAGUCGGAUGUGAAAUCCCCGGGCUCAACCUGGGAACUGCAUCCGAAACUGGCAGGCUAGAGUCUUGUAGAGGGGGGUAGAAUUCCAGGUGUAGCGGUGAAAUGCGUAGAGAUCUGGAGGAAUACCGGUGGCGAAGGCGGCCCCCUGGACAAAGACUGACGCUCAGGUGCGAAAGCGUGGGGAGCAAACA